GACGAACGCUGGCGGCGUGCUUAACACAUGCAAGUCGAACGGUGAUGCUCCAGCUUGCUGGAGUGGAUCAGUGGCGAACGGGUGAGUAACACGUGAGCAACCUGCCCCAGACUCUGGAAUAAGCGCUGGAAACGGCGUCUAAUACUGGAUACGAAACUGGCCCGCAUGGGCAUGGUUUGGAAAGUUUUUCGGUUUGGGAUGGGCUCGCGGCCUAUCAGCUUGUUGGUGAGGUAAUGGCUCACCAAGGCGACGACGGGUAGCCGGCCUGAGAGGGCGACCGGCCACACUGGGACUGAGACACAGCCCAGACUCCUACGGGAGGCAGCAGUGGGGAAUAUUGCACAAUGGGCGAAAGCCUGAUGCAGCGACGCCGCGUGAGGGAUGACGGCCUUCGGGUUGUAAACCUCUUUCAGCAGGGAAGAAGCGAAAGUGACGGUACCUGCAGAAGAAGCACCGGCUAACUACGUG
This 468-nucleotide ribosomal RNA is filed under the name uncultured bacterium. Its description in RNAcentral is "partial 16S ribosomal RNA". It matches the Rfam family "Bacterial small subunit ribosomal RNA", at positions 28 to 507 of the family's 1533-position model. The record is from RNAcentral.